CCUACGGGUGGCAGCAGUGAGGAAUAUUGGUCAAUGGACGGUAGUCUGAACCAGCCAAGCCGCGUGCAGGAUGACGGCCCUAUGAGUUGUAAACUGCUUUUGUACAAGGGUAAACCUGAAUACGUGUAUUCCGUUGCAAGUACUUUACGAAUAAGGAUCGGCUAACUCCGUGCCAGCAGCCGCGGUAAUACGGAGGAUCCAAGCGUUAUCCGGAUUUAUUGGGUUUAAAGGGUGCGUAGGCGGGUUGAUAAGUCAGUGGUGAAAUGUUGGGGCUUAACCCGGGAACUGCCGUUCAUACUGGUGACCUUGAGAGUAGAUGCGGUAGGCGGAAUGUAUGGUGUAGCGGUGAAAUGCUUAGAGAUCAUACAGAACACCGAUUGCGAAGGCAGCUUACCAAUCUGUAACUGACGUUGAUGCACGAAAGCGUGGGGAGCAAACAGGAUUAGAUACCCGGGUAGUC
This 460-nucleotide ribosomal RNA is filed under the name uncultured bacterium. Its description in RNAcentral is "partial 16S ribosomal RNA". It matches the Rfam family "Bacterial small subunit ribosomal RNA", at positions 338 to 795 of the family's 1533-position model. The record is from RNAcentral.